This 245-nucleotide ribosomal RNA is filed under the name uncultured bacterium. Its description in RNAcentral is "partial 16S ribosomal RNA". It matches the Rfam family "Bacterial small subunit ribosomal RNA", at positions 524 to 768 of the family's 1533-position model. The record is from RNAcentral.
GACGGAGGGGGCAAGCGUUGUCCGGAAUUACUGGGCGUAAAGGGCGCGUAGGCGGUUAUUUAAGUCGGUUGUGAAAGCCCCGGGCUCAACCCGGGGAGGCCAGCCGAGACUGGGUAACUUGAGGGCAGGAGAGGGAAGUGGAACUGCCGGUGUAGCGGUGGAAUGCGUAGAUAUCGGCAGGAACACCCGCGGCGAAGGCGGCUUCCUGGACUGUUCCUGACGCUGAGGCGCGAAAGCCAGGGGAG